This 853-nucleotide long non-coding RNA is filed under the name Homo sapiens (human). RNAcentral's name for it is "HSALNT0361397". Lineage: Eukaryota; Metazoa; Chordata; Mammalia; Primates; Hominidae. The record is from RNAcentral.
GCUAGGUGUUGCUAGGGCAACUUAGCUGGGAGUCUGAUUGUGAAGUAAUUAAGCAGGGUGUAUAAAUUACCUCAGCUGGUUUUCCCCAGAAUAGGCAGUUCUCUGCAUGAAAGGAGGUGACUAGGUUCUCUUUUCUUCCAAAGUCAAAACCAGAUAGGAAACCUUUGAAGAUGCAUAGGAACAUGUCAUGGUAGGGUGGUGGGCUCCUCUUCAGAUCCCACAUAGCAGCUGGGGCCAGCCAGGGCGAGAUCAAGGGUGAAUGUAGGUAGAUGCCAGCAAGGGAAGAGCAUGAUCAGAGACUAUGAGUGGGCUGGGAGUGAGGGCAGGAGCCAGGAGGCAGGACCAGAGCUGACAGAAACCAGAGAACAGGCACUAAAGCAGGAAAAAUACCCCCACACGUGCCACAGGAGGCCAUGCCUUGCCAGUAUGAGGACUCACCAGAAUUUACAAUGAGAUGGAAUGAAGGAACUACACAGGGCUAGGAAGGGAUUCUCAAAUUGUGAUUGCAACCUGUCUACCCCUAUUAACAGCAACAUUUAUUGAGUAAAGUGUCAGGCCCUGUACCAAGAUUUAAUUUAGAUUUAAUCUAACCAGGGAGGUGAAAGAUCUCUACAGGGAGAAUUGUGAAACACUGCUCAAAGAAAUCAGAGGUGACAAAAACAAAUGGAAAAGCUUUCCAUGUUCAUGGAUAGGAAGAAUCAAUAUCAUUAAAAUGGCCAUACUGCCCAAAGCAAUUUACAGAUUUAAUGCUAUUCCUAUCAAACCACCAAUGACAUUCUUCACAGAACUAGAAAAAGAUAUUUUAAAAUUCAUGUGGAACAAAAAGUGAGCCCAAAUAGCCAAGGCAAUCCUA